Molecule: ribosomal RNA, 506 nt
Filed under: uncultured bacterium
Lineage: Bacteria
Description: partial 16S ribosomal RNA
Rfam family: Bacterial small subunit ribosomal RNA
Source: RNAcentral
GACGAACGCUGGCGGCGUGCCUAAUACAUGCAAGCCGAGCGGAUCAUCCCUUCGGGGAUGGUUAGCGGCGGACGGGUGAGUAACACGUAGGCAACCUGCCUGUAAGAUCGGGAUAACUACCGGAAACGGUAGCUACGACCGGAAAGCUGGUUUCCACGCAUGGGGGAAUCAUGAACCACGGAGAAAUCUGUGGCUCACGGAUGGGCCUGGGGGGAAUUAGCGAGUUGGUGGGGUAACGGCCGACCAAGGCGACCCUGCGUAGCCGACCUGAGAGGGUGAACGGCCACACUGGGACGGAGACACGGCCCAGACUCCUACGGGAGGCAGCAGUAGGGAAUCUUCCGCAAUGGACGCAAGUCUGACGGAGCAACGCCGCGUGAGUGAGGAAGGCCUUCGGGUCGUAAAGCUCUGUUGCCCUAGACGAACGCCUCUUGGAGUAACUGCCAAGAGGGUGACGGUAUAGGAGAAGAAAGCCCCGGCUAACUACGUGCCAGCCGCCGCAGUAA